GGAGGGUUUAGCUCAGCAGUAGAGCAUGUGCUUCUCAUGCACAGGGUCCUGGGUUCAAUCCCCAGUACCUCCA
This 73-nucleotide transfer RNA is filed under the name Vicugna pacos (alpaca). Its description in RNAcentral is "tRNA-Glu (CTC) (tRNA-Glu-CTC-2-1)". It matches the Rfam family "tRNA". Rfam says of the family: Transfer RNA (tRNA) molecules are approximately 80 nucleotides in length. Lineage: Eukaryota; Metazoa; Chordata; Mammalia; Artiodactyla; Camelidae. The record is from RNAcentral.